AUGUGCUGUAUGGCAAGAUCAUGGCUCUUCGCAACACGAUUUUGGAAGCUCCUAAAGGAGAGGAAAAAAAUUGAAUACCUGUCAGGGGAAGGAGUUAAGUUGACAAUUAAGACAGCUCAGUGCUCUGUCGCUGCGGCUCAGCUGGAGCAGACAGGGACAGGGAUGCUGAAGCACAGCUCUCUCCUCCCUGUGACUGCAUCAGGCAGCCUCACCAGAACCUCCCAUCUGUGUGUCUGCAGGGCCACGGACAGCCUCAGCCCUCCCUCAAGGAUGGUGCUGGUCCAGCAAGGAGAGAGGAUAUGGGUCCACUGCAGCCGGAAAAGGGAAAAUGGAUGUGAUCCUCUGGAAGCCAUGCUCUAAGUGGCCAUCUCCACUGUCAUUGAUGGAGAAGCACAGCUCAUGACUUACGAUUUCUCACAAGUAGCAGCACUGCAAUUUGAUUCAUGUGCCCUGGAACCAAUGAAGUCAGUAUGGUUGUGUGGAUGUGUCUCCUUUCUCGGAAUGGGUCAGGGUGUGACCUGCAUACAAUAGUCAUAUACAGGUACAAACAACUUACUCU
RNAcentral lists this long non-coding RNA (559 nucleotides) under Phasianus colchicus (ring-necked pheasant). RNAcentral describes it as "lncRNA (ENSPCLG00000012613.1)". The record is from RNAcentral. Lineage: Eukaryota; Metazoa; Chordata; Aves; Galliformes; Phasianidae.